Molecule: ribosomal RNA, 278 nt
Filed under: uncultured Pediococcus sp.
Lineage: Bacteria; Bacillati; Bacillota; Bacilli; Lactobacillales; Lactobacillaceae
Description: partial 16S ribosomal RNA
Rfam family: Bacterial small subunit ribosomal RNA
Source: RNAcentral
UACUGAUUGAGAUUUUAACACGAAGUGAGUGGCGAACGGGUGAGUAACACGUGGGUAACCUGCCCAGAAGUAGGGGAUAACACCUGGAAACAGAUGCUAAUACCGUAUAACAGAGAAAACCGCAUGGUUUUCUUUUAAAAGAUGGCUCUGCUAUCACUUCUGGAUGGACCCGCGGCGUAUUAGCUAGUUGGUGAGGUAAAGGCUCACCAAGGCAGUGAUACGUAGCCGACCUGAGAGGGUAAUCGGCCACAUUGGGACUGAGACACGGCCCAGACUCC